CAAUAGCGUAUAUUAAAGUUGUUGCAGUUAAAAAGCUCGUAGUUGGAUUUCUGAUCGAGACAUCAGGUCGGGUCCGAGAGGAUCAUGUACUUUGAUUUUGUUUUGAUCAUCCUUGGGGAGAGCAUUUCUGGCAUUCAGUUGUCGGGAUUGGGAUCCUCAUCGUUUACUGUGAAAAAAUUAGAGUGUUCAAAACAGGCCUCGGCCUCUGAAUACAUUAGCAUGGAAUAAUAAGAUAGGACUUUGGUGGUCUAUUUUGUUGGUUUGCACGCCAAAGUAAUGAUUAAUAGGGAUAGUUGGGGGUAUUCGUAUUCAAUUGUCAGAGGUGAAAUUCUUGGAUUUAUGGAAGACGAACUACUGCGAAAGCAUUUACCAAGGAUGUUUUCAUUAA
This 388-nucleotide ribosomal RNA is filed under the name uncultured eukaryote. Its description in RNAcentral is "partial 18S ribosomal RNA". It matches the Rfam family "Eukaryotic small subunit ribosomal RNA", at positions 592 to 976 of the family's 1831-position model. The record is from RNAcentral.